This is a long non-coding RNA of Lutzomyia longipalpis, 2227 nucleotides long. RefSeq lists it as uncharacterized. Lineage: Eukaryota; Metazoa; Arthropoda; Insecta; Diptera; Psychodidae. The record is from RefSeq and is a predicted model, not a curated record. The transcript is spliced from 2 exons.
AGUCUCUCGCUGUACACCGAAGGGAUCAUUUUAUUCAUUCAUUAAAAAUUUUAGCAAAUUGAGACGAAAGAAGACUCUAACAACAAUAAGAAAAUAAAUAAAUAAUGGAAUCCGAAGAAAGGAUUAAAAAGCUCUUAGCGCUGCAGAAGAAGAAAAUAUUAAAUAAACAACUAGAACUCUAUAGUUCAAGCUUAAAGGAAGCUUUUCAGACGAGAAAAUUCUCAUCGGCAAAAAUGCAGGGAUUUCUUGCAAUUGUGGAAGAAUUGAAGAGUGAUUAUUUGAAAAAUCGAGAAAUAAUUUUUGCUUCUGUUGCAAAUAAUGCGGAGGAGUUUGAGAAUGAAACCAAAGACGAUGAACGCUUCCAAGUUAGAUUAUUUUCCAUGCAAUUGACUAUAUACAGAGCCUAUGAGGAAUCUUCCACCGUCAACAGCACGGCUAAUUCACCAAAUCAGGAGACUUUUGAAAUGCAACAAACCCUCAAGAAUAUUCUUCAGGCUCAAAAUAAUAUUCUAAAAGAAUUGAAAAGUCUUUCGGAUGUUCGUUUAAUGAGGAAAUAAAAUUAUGGGGAGUUAUGGAGGCAAAUUUUAACUAAACAAUUAUUCUAAUAUAUUUAAUUAAUUUUAAUAUUUUCUUUUUUUUUUUGUUAUUUUUUUUUAUUUUCUUUCAAUAAUGCGUUUAGAAGUUCUAAGAAAUGAUCUAAAGAUAUCGAAUAGAAGAUUUUAAAAAAAAAUCUAGAAAAUAACUAAUUCAAAAAGCAUAAAAUUGGUUAAAUAACUUUGGAAACCACUAAUAUUAUAACUAAGCUUUAUAAUAUUUUAGAGUUUUUAAAUAAAAUAAUUUUUUAAAAAAAAAUCCAGAUAAUAGGGUUUACCAUCUCACGCUACAUUGACCUUAUUUUUUUUAUUUAAAAAAAUUAAAUCAAUUUUUGUUUAUAAGUUUCGUUUUUUUCGAAAACUUUUUUUAGCCUAAAGUAAAUUGUGAAACACUUCAAAAUUUAAAAUUAAAAUGUAAGUUUGACUUAAAAACUUAAGCCUGACUUAAGAAACAAAGUUAAGUCGUUUAUUAAGCCAGGCCUUUUUUUAAGCCGAACCUUAGUUCCUUUAGGUCAUACUUUUAAGAUGAAUUCGGCCUCAAUUCAGCCUGAUCUUAUCUUGAAACCUUAAAAGCCUAACUUUAAAAAAAACUUAAGUCUAGUCUACAACAAAGGUCUUGCUUAAAAAUCUUAGGACUGAUUUUAAAAACUUAAACCUAGAUUGAAGAAAACUGUAGUUUAAAUUAAAGAAGUUUAUUCUGGUUUAGAAAAACUCAGAUCUAACUUAAGACGAUUUUUCUUUAUCUAAAAAAAUCGAAACUUUCUAAAUGACAGAGUCUAUUCAAUUUUUAAUUUUUUAGUAUUCUGGUUACUGCUUAAUAUAAAAGCAAAAAAAAAAUUAAAAUCGAUAUAAAAUUGAUAUAGUUCGUAAAAAUGUGAUUUUCAGAUUCAAUUCAAUCAUCUUUAACCCAUUAAAUAUCAAGUUAGGUUUUUCAGGUAAAAACUAAUUAAUUUCUACUCUAAAAAUUUACUUUGCUUGUUUCUGGCCUAAUCCCUUUUUAAUAAGACUUUAAUACUCCUUAUUCCACCAAAGUUAACAUUUGUUUGUGAAAAAAAGUAUAUAAAGAAAGCCUAUAGUUUUGCAGUUAACAGUUCAGUUCAGUCUGUUGGAUGAUCCACUAGCAUUAUCAAGCACCAUUCCGUGAAUUUUUGUGAGAUUGCACUGUUAUUUUGACGAUUUUGAAUCUAUUUAACUUUGUAAAAUAAUUUUUUGUUCAAUUUUAUUACUAAAAAUUGAAAAAUUUAAAUGAAAAAUUGAAUUUUUGAAUUAUUCAUCACCAACUUAAGAAUCUUCAAGGAUGUCAGGAAUUACAAUUACACCUAUCACGGAUAAGGAUAAAAAGGUUGUGAUGGCCCUUGGAAAAAGGAAAAUUCUGACUGAAAGUUUUUCAAAAGCAAAAGAAAUCUAUAACUCUAAUACUACUCAUACCACUGAACAACUCCGUGUAAUUGCGGAAACGUUGAAGAAUUUAAGAGAAGAUUAUCUUGUAAACCAAAAAUUACUUUUUGAAUUAGUUCCUGAUAAAGAAAACUUUCUAGAUGUUAUGAAAAAAGAUGCGAAUUUUCAAAUUAUGUUAUUCAGUAUGGAGCUUGAAAUAAAAUUGAAAUUGACAUAAUAAAGGAUUCUUAAUCUUA